GCUCGCGAGCUCAGUGGUAGAGCGCACGAUUGCAAAGUAUGCAAUGAUAUCGUGAUGUCCCGUGUUCGACCCACGGUAGUU
Molecule: non-coding RNA, 81 nt
Organism: Mycena epipterygia
Lineage: Eukaryota; Fungi; Basidiomycota; Agaricomycetes; Agaricales; Mycenaceae
Source: the annotation of a GenBank genome assembly